Molecule: long non-coding RNA, 5857 nt
Organism: Ictalurus punctatus (channel catfish)
Lineage: Eukaryota; Metazoa; Chordata; Actinopteri; Siluriformes; Ictaluridae
Source: Ensembl
GAGGGGGAUGAUGAUGGAGGGAUCAGGGGGGGAGACAAGUGUGAAAGCCGUCGGUGUGUAAAGAAAAGAAGGAAGACGGAGCAGGACGGGGUUAUUGAAACAGAGUUAAAAGCAGUCGAGGCCAUUCUCCCUCCUCAUUUUUCACCUGAGUCAUCCUUUCUCUAAAGAGCCAACAGCACACACACACACACACACACACACGCACACGCACACACUCUUUUACACUCUCACACAUACACACACACUUUCACACACACACUUAUACAUACACACACAAAAUAACAUGAUUUGUAGACAAGAGAGAAAGGACAAGCUUUUAUUGAAUCUCAAUUUUCUCUUUUUCCUGCACCUGUUUCUUCUUUUUUCUUUCGAUCUUCUCUUCUGUUCUCUCUCUCCCUCUCUCUCUCUCUCUCUCUCUCUAAUUCUGUCUCUCUUUCUAUCUGUCUCUUUUGUUCUGUCUGUGUCUCUCUCUCUCUUUCUCCUUUUUUUCUGAUGCUUGAAUAGAAGUGGAUCAAAAAGGUUUUCAGAGUCUCCCUCAGACUAGAACAUCCUCAUCUUCCUCAUCUCUCUCUCUCUCUCUCUCUCUCUCUCUCGCCUCACGCUCUUCCUCUCCAUCACUGCCAUCGCUCUGCCUUUUAAUCCACACUCGUUCUGUCCAGCUUUGCUUCAUGCCUCAUGUGCGGGUCCAGAGGAGAGGCGAACCUUGUGAUUGCAACCGUGGGCUCAGGUCCAGGCUGCCUCAGUAGGCAGUGAUUUUGGGAAGCGUUUAAACUCCCGAGGUGAAACGCUGUCCUUUUUUGGACCGUUUCCUCCAACCGUUAAAGCUGCAGUAGGUAACUUUUGUCGAUUUGGAUCUGUAGAUCGAAAUGUGGAAGAAGAAGAAGAAGAAGAAAGUCAAAGAGUUUGUCUAGUCAGCGAGGUAAUGUGAGCCAACCCGAGAGGGAUAUUUGCGUUUGAGUUCUCUAAGAGCCCGAAGCCACGCCCAUCGAUUCCACACAGAGACCACGCCCAGUCUUCAAAACCAGAUUGUGAUGACGGUUGCGUUUCGUAGUGAAACUGUGGGCAAGUAGAGUCUAAGGAUGCGGCAUCAAUCGACGAUCCCGUACGAAUCCAAACCUGACCUCUCGGACUUUUUCACUUCCUCACGUUCGUCCGGGCGAGAUCGCGCGGUCAGUUACGGAGCUCGUGGGAAAGAAGAAAAGAAAGCGCACGUUCGUUAACGUGGGCGUUUACGGCCGCUGCGUGACACGUUCACUUAUUCGCUUUCGGUAACUGCUUUAUCCUGGGCAAGGUCAUGGUGGCUCAAGGUCAUGAGGGUUGAAGGUCAUGGGGGUUCAAAUGACUAAUGUGUUUACAUUUAGAGAAGCAGAUCAUCGUUACAUACUGCAGCUUUAAAGGUGUCGCUCAUUUAAACAGUUCUGCCGGCUAAUCGGAGCUUUCUGUCCCGAUAUGACAGUGUGUCAUAUUAGACCUAAACUGGGUACAAACUGGGUCGGGGUGGGAUUAAAACCAUCCCAGUUAAUAUACCCUCUAACCAGAUGCCACAUUUGCCCCCCCUCCCCCUCCCCACCCCUCCCCACCCCUCCUCUAGAUCUCAGUCCUGGCCCGUUUCCAAUCGCGCUAACCACCCAUGUGUUUGCAUAAUCUCCAUCCUGCCUCUCUAGCUCCGCUAAUGCGCAUACGUCCCAUUUAGACAUCUGUAUGCACCGGCGUAGAAACACUACUUCCUGUCUGUCUCGCUUUAAUCAGGCAUGUGGUGGAGGAUAAGCACUGUUACUUUAAAAUAAACAACCCACAAACACACACAUGCACGUAUACAGAACGGCUGAUCGUUUGCAUAACAUCAUCCUCUGUUUAACUUUAUCGCCUCCCCUGGCCACGCCCACUUUCUCUUCACGUCGCUCAGCCCCGUCCUGGCUGAUUCGUCGCACCACACGACCGCCGUGCGAGAUCCGUUUCCUGAAGGCCUCUAGUUCCUGAACAAGUUCCUGUGGGGAACUUUUUUCUUCUAUUUUUUUUUUCACACACACACACACACACACUACAUCCCUGUACUUCAUCCCUUCUUCCUGUUCUCCCUUCUGUCCUGCCUUGUCGCUUGAAUUAUUCCUCCGUCUUCCGAUCUGAUAACACACGUUGCCUUAAAGAUCGAUCGAUCGAUAGAUUAUAGACUCUGGGAAUGUGCUUCUGUACUCAGGACCUGUCACUGUUAGACAGCUAGUAACACACACACACACACACACACACACACACACACACACACGCACACGCACACACAAAUGCAUAAGCAGCUUUAUACUUCGCUUUCAUGUCCAUCUUUUAUGUAGGGCGCACCUGAGAAGGAUUGAUACGUACAACACACACACACACACACACACACACACACACACUGAGAGAGGAAGAGUUUUGCAUUUGUGUGCAUAUUGUUAAAGCAAAAAGGCUCAAGGGUACACAGGUGUUUAUGAAUUUUAAUGAGAGAGACUCAGAAACAGAUAGACCGCUCUGUACAUGAAGUACCAGAGAGAGAGAGAGUGAGAGAGAGAGAGAGAGAGAGAGAGCGAGAGAGAGCGAGAGAGAGAGAGAGUGAGAGAGAGCGAGAGCGAGAGAGAGAGAGUUUUAGUGUAAGAUGAACUUCUCAAAUCUGGAACGUUUCUGUGUUUUUUGUUCUUUUUUUUUUCCCCUCCCAGAACAGUUCGAGCAUCUUAAACAUUUGCAGGCUGUCUAUGAAACGACAGGGGCGGGGUCGAAAACAGGAAGUAGCAAUAGGUGUAAAAGUCAACGGCGAGGCAAGGACGGUGCAGUUUUCAGUGUCGGAUGAUACCGCAUCGCGCUCGGCCAUGUUGGGGAAACUACUUCAAAACAUAGUUACACAUCACACGACGGAAAAUACGUUUGAAAGCCAUGCGGUGGUGGACAGGUUUAAUUAUUAUUAUUAUUAUUAUUAUUAUUAUUAUUAUUAUUAUUAUUAUUAUUAUCUCGCCCCACAUACUGUGUGCUGAAGAGUUUCACCCUUGCUUUGGGAGGAAACAUAAGGAACUAGGCUAAAACACACAAACUAAGGUACGACGCUGAAUCCCAGCCGAAGGAACGGCAUAGUCCAGCAAAGCAUCAAAACAGCAGCGGGUUUUUAACAAACAUUAUACCUGUCGCACAUUAAAGAUGCUAAUCGAGUCUCCUGCUGAGUCGCUAACUGCUAGUAAUCGGUCUGUACAGGAUUUCCCCUAAAGGAUUGUUUUUUUUAUUAUUAUUGUUACAGCAAAAAAAGCUCGAAUCGGCGAAAUCGCGACCGCACGAAAUUGUUCCGCACGCUUUUUCGCGGCGAUGUAUGUUGGUAAUCCAGAAGUUUUAGACGAACUCGUGUUCGCACGUGAAUCGGAUAGGGCUUUGUCGUGACGACGUUGCAUGACGCGUCUCCUCCCGAACCUCCGGGAAACCUGCGGUAAAUUCGAAAAAACGUUUCGUAUUUUUCCCGAAUUCCGCGGCGUUUGCGUGAUUUCGCGUCCCGAGAUGCCCGAGAGACGGAACUGUUUUAAUUUUAAUCCGUUUAUCAAUUACUAUUUCCACAUCCUUGUGCAGUAUUCAUUCCUUAAAAAAAAAAAAAAAAAAAAGAGUCUCAGUUAAAAAUAGUUCCUAUCAGUGACCAGAACGGAUCCGAGUGCGGUUCAGCGAGUACACUCGGGCGGUGUCGUUCGACCAGGAAGUACAUUAAAGAACUGGAGCGAGUUAUAAUUAAACCUACACAGUACAUCAAGAUAAUAAUAAAAUAAAAUAAAAAAUAGAUCCGGAAAAGUCAGUUGUGCGUUAUUUUUUUUCCCUUUCUCUGUGUAAUAUAGCACAGUCUGCUCGUCCUGGUGUCCAGGCUUCGGAUGCGAUCUCUCAUUCAGAGAUACGUCGCUGUCUGUGCUGCACGCUGCACGGCAAGUGUAGACGAUACUGCAGCUGAGAUCAGAACAGAAAUGAUUUUUAUUAGUUAAUCAGCCAGCGACUGCGUAUGAAAGCUCUGGGGGGAAAAAGGAAAUUCCUAACCCGAGACGUUACUGGAAGCUGUUCGCUCUUUACAAGCUACUACAUGGUUUAAAAAAGUUACGGUCCUGCCGGAAAAUUUAUAUCGCUUUAUGUGUGUGUGUGUGUGUGUGUGUGUGUGUGUGUAGCGACGCCGGGUCUCGGGUCACGUCUCCUCAGACACCUUCACGUCAUACAGGGUGUGAUGUAUAUACGAAGCAUCUUUAUUCAGAUAUUUAUUUAUUUUUUAAUUCCAGCUUGAUAUUGUCUCGUUCGGUUUAUUCUAGUAAAUAAAUACAAAUAAAAUAAGGUGUAGAAAUACUGUAAGUUUAAUAAUCUCACACUUAUUUUUAUAAUCUCAACGAGAGACUACAUUACUAUAUAUAUAUUUGCCUGUGUUCUCCUUAGUCAUUUAGAACUCUCGCCUGAUUGGUUAACGCCUCAGACUCAUUUGCAUAAAGAUGUAGUGGACACGUACCAUGACUUCCUGGAUUGAACGUCCUGCUUCCUGGUGCUGACAAUAAUAACAGUUACAGUAUCAGACGUCACACAUACAUACACACGCGUGUGCACACACACACACACACACACACACACUGCUUCAAUGUUUUUUACUCAAAACUAAUCCUAAAGCAGCAGGACAACAGGCUUUUCUGUACUCAGCGCGUGUCUGUGUGGGUCUGUAAUGUGUGUGUGUGUGUGUUUUGGCACACAUUUAAGUGUGUAUCUGUGUAUCUGUGUGUGUGUGUGUGUGUGUACGUGUCCGUAUCUAUGUAGAAUUCUCAUAGCUAAUCUUGCUGCCAUUGUCUUUAACCUCUUGCCGUCCGCAAACAGGCAGGACGUAAUGUCGGAGCGCCGCUAGGCCACGUUAACGCAAUGCUAAUUCUCAUUUCACAGGAAUAACCUUUGACCUUUCUCCGUUUCCAUUCCUCUUCUUUCCUUUGCCUCCACACACACACACACACACACACACACACACACACACACACACCCUCUUCAACACUCUUCUCUUUCCAGAUUUCUGACUAUCUCUUUCUUUCUUGCUUGCUCUCAAAAAACGCUAACACAUUAACUCUCUCACACACACACACACACACACACACACACACACACACACACACAUACAUACACACACCGUUACAUUUUCCUCUGUGCCUCAUUUUCCUCCUCAAGCCCACAUUCACUCUUACACUCACACACACACUUACACACACACACACACACACACACACACACACACGUGUACGCACCAUUAGCCAUUCUGCAUGGUGAAGGUGCGAUGUGGCGUACAGCACUCUGCCCCCUGCUGGCUGCUCACUCCACCUGCCAGGAACAGGUGCCACAUUCAAUUAGAGCAGCAGGCUCUCGGUGGGAGGGGCUGGACCAGGUUUACUCUGGGCUGCAGAGUAGUACACACACACACACACACACACACACACACACACAGCUCUCUACAACAGCUACAGUGAGUGUUUAUCACCAGAUGAGAUAACCCCACCCAUUUUUCAAUUGCUGAUUAAUGACUGUGGAGAUCCCGGUGCUGCAGGUACGACAGUGCAGUCUAAUGUCAAGUCUAAUGCCAAGUCAGUCAGUCACUUUUUCAAGCUGUUUUUUUUUUUCAUUCAGACUCUUACAACCUCUAUUUGUUGUUUUUUUGUGUGUCUAGAUCAUUAUAAGCUCAUUAGCUUUUCUACACCAUUAAAAUCUUGUUUGUUAGAAAGUUAAAAUGUUAUUAGGUUUUUUUGCUCUAGAGCAUUACAAUUGUGAAAGUUUUCCACAGCAGUAAAACUUCUUAAAAAUUCAUUGUGUUUUUAAUUAAACUUUUUUUUUUUUUUUUUUUUUUUUUUGCUUUAAG